GCGGAGGAAAAGAAACCAACAGGGAUUGCCCCAGUAACGGCGAGUGAAGCGGCAAAAGCUCAAAUUUGAAAUCUGGCUCCUUUUAGGGGUCCGAGUUGUAAUUUGCAGAGGAUGCUUUGGGUGCACCCGCGGCGUAAGUCCCUUGGAACAGGGCGUCAUAGAGGGUGAGAAUCCCGUCUUGAGUCGCUGGCGUGUGCCCGUGCAAAGCUCCUUCGACGAGUCGAGUUGUUUGGGAAUGCAGCUCUAAUUGGGUGGUAAAUUUCAUCUAAAGCUAAAUACUGGCCGGAGACCGAUAGCGAACAAGUAGAGUGAUCGAAAGGUUAAAAGCACCUUGAAAAGGGAGUUAAAUAGCACGUGAAAUUGUUGAAAGGGAAGCGCUUGCAGCCAGACUCGGGUGCGGAGGCUCAGCGGGCAUGUUUGCCCGUGUACUCCUUCGCGCCCGGGCCAGCAUCAGUUUUGGCGGCCGGUCAAAGGCCCUCGGGAUGUGUCGUCCUCCGGGACGUCUUAUAACCGGGGGUGCAAUGCGGUCAGCCGGGACUGAGGAA
This 545-nucleotide ribosomal RNA is filed under the name Malbranchea sp. F277800. Its description in RNAcentral is "eukaryotic LSU rRNA". It matches the Rfam family "Eukaryotic large subunit ribosomal RNA", at positions 50 to 596 of the family's 3401-position model. The record is from RNAcentral. Lineage: Eukaryota; Fungi; Ascomycota; Eurotiomycetes; Onygenales; Malbrancheaceae.